Molecule: non-coding RNA, 27 nt
Filed under: Homo sapiens (human)
Lineage: Eukaryota; Metazoa; Chordata; Mammalia; Primates; Hominidae
Source: RNAcentral
AGCUAACAGUUGAGGUGUUCUAUGGCU